This 72-nucleotide transfer RNA is filed under the name Candidatus Lloydbacteria bacterium CG22_combo_CG10-13_8_21_14_all_47_15. Its description in RNAcentral is "tRNA-Ile". It matches the Rfam family "tRNA". From Rfam's summary of the family: Transfer RNA (tRNA) molecules are approximately 80 nucleotides in length. The record is from RNAcentral. Lineage: Bacteria; Candidatus Lloydiibacteriota.
CGGCCUGUAGCUCAAUGGUAGAGCUCUCGUCUUAUACACGAGCGGUUCCAGGUUCGAGUCCUGGCAGGCCGA